RNAcentral lists this ribosomal RNA (910 nucleotides) under uncultured bacterium. RNAcentral's name for it is "bacterial SSU rRNA". It matches the Rfam family "Bacterial small subunit ribosomal RNA", at positions 33 to 927 of the family's 1533-position model. The record is from RNAcentral.
ACGCUGGCGGCGUGCCUAAUACAUGCAAGUAGAACGCUGAAGGAGGAGCUUGCUUCUCCGGAUGAGUUGCGAACGGGUGAGUAACGCGUAGGUAACCUGCCUGGUAGCGGGGGAUAACUAUUGGAAACGAUAGCUAAUACCGCAUAACAGUAGAUGUUGCAUGACAUUUGCUUAAAAGGUGCAAUUGCAUCACUACCAGAUGGACCUGCGUUGUAUUAGCUAGUUGGUGGGGUAACGGCUCACCAAGGCGACGAUACAUAGCCGACCUGAGAGGGUGAUCGGCCACACUGGGACUGAGACACGGCCCAGACUCCUACGGGAGGCAGCAGUAGGGAAUCUUCGGCAAUGGACGGAAGUCUGACCGAGCAACGCCGCGUGAGUGAAGAAGGUUUUCGGAUCGUAAAGCUCUGUUGUAAGAGAAGAACGAGUGUGAGAGUGGGAAGUUCACACUGUGACGGUAUCUUACCAGAAAGGGACGGCUAACUACGUGCCAGCAGCCGCGGUAAUACGUAGGUCCCGAGCGUUGUCCGGAUUUAUUGGGCGUAAAGCGAGCGCAGGCGGUUUGAUAAGUCUGAAGUUAAAGGCUGUGGCUUAACCAUAGUACGCUUUGGAAACUGUUUAACUUGAGUGCAAGAGGGGAGAGUGGAAUUCCAUGUGUAGCGGUGAAAUGCGUAGAUAUAUGGAGGAACACCGGUGGCGAAAGCGGCUCUCUGGCUUGUAACUGACGCUGAGGCUCGAAAGCGGGGGGAGCAAACAGGAUUAGAUACCCUGGUAGUCCACGCCGUAAACGAUGAGUGCUAGGUGUUAGACCCUUUCCGGGGUUUAGUGCCGCAGCUAACGCAUUAAGCACUCCGCCUGGGGAGUACGACCGCAAGGUUGAAACUCAAAGGAAUUGACGGGGGCCCGCACA